UAGCAUCCGCAAUCGAACUUCGGAUUGACUUGGCGUAAUAGACUAUUCGCUGAGGAAUUCUAGUCUUCGGAUUAGAGCCGGGUUGGGUUAAAGGAAGCUUCUAAUCAGAAUGUCUACAUUUUAAGAUUAGAUCUCAAAUCAGGUAGGACUACCCGCUGAACUUAAGCAUAUCAAUAAGCGGAGGAAAAGAAACUAACAAGGAUUCCCCUAGUAGCGGCGAGCGAAGCGGGAAGAGCUCAAAUUUAUAAUCUGGCACCUUCGGUGUCCGAGUUGUAAUCUCUAGAAAUGUUUUCCGCGUUGGACCGCACACAAGUCUGUUGGAAUACAGCGGCAUAGUGGUGAGACCCCCGUAUAUGGUGCGGACGCCCAGCGCUUUGUGAUACAUUUUCGAAGAGUCGAGUUGUUUGGGAAUGCAGCUCAAAUUGGGUGGUAAAUUCCAUCUAAAGCUAAAUAUUGGCGAGAGACCGAUAGCGAACAAGUACCGUGAGGGAAAGAUGAAAAGCACUUUGGAAAGAGAGUUAACAGUACGUGAAAUUGUUGGAAGGGAAACGCUUGAAGUCAGACUUGCUUGCCGAGCAAUCGGUUUGCAGGCCAGCAUCAGUUUUCCGGGAUGGAUAAUGGUAGAGAGAAGGUAGCAGUUUCGGCUGUGUUAUAGCUCUCUGCUGGAUACAUCUUGGGGGACUGAGGAACGCAGUGUGCCUUUGGCGGGGGUUUCGACCUCUCACACUAGGAUGCUGGG
This 739-nucleotide ribosomal RNA is filed under the name Rhodotorula mucilaginosa. RNAcentral's name for it is "LSU rRNA". The stretch from base 129 to 739 matches the Rfam family "Eukaryotic large subunit ribosomal RNA", at positions 1 to 630 of the family's 3401-position model. The record is from RNAcentral. Lineage: Eukaryota; Fungi; Basidiomycota; Microbotryomycetes; Sporidiobolales; Sporidiobolaceae.